GAUGAACGCUGGCGGCGUGCCUAACACAUGCAAGUCGAGCGAUGGGACGAGAAGCUUGGUUUUCUGAUGUUAGGGGCGGGCGGGUGAGUAACAAGUGGAUAACCUACCUAUAUGAGUGGGACAAGUUCGGGUAACCGGAGCUAAUACCGGGUGAUAUUUUGAACCGGAUGGUUCUAGAGUGAAAGACGGUCUUGCGGUCGCUUAUCGAUGGAUCCGCGCGGUAUUAGCUAGUUGGUAAGGUAACGGCUUACCAGGGAAACGAUGCAUAGCCGAGCUGAGAGCGUGAUCGCCCACACGGGAACUGGGACACGGUCCAGACUCCUACGGGAGGCAGCAGUCGGGAAUCUUCCGCAAUGGGCGAAAGCCUGACGGAGCAACGCCGCGUGUGUGACGAAGGUCUUCGGUUCGUAAAACUCUCUUACUGGUGAGAAACAUAUUUGAGAGUAGAUGUGCACAUCUUGACGGUACCUAAACAAGAAGCCACGGCUAACUACGUG
Molecule: ribosomal RNA, 497 nt
Filed under: uncultured bacterium
Lineage: Bacteria
Description: partial 16S ribosomal RNA
Rfam family: Bacterial small subunit ribosomal RNA
Source: RNAcentral